This 491-nucleotide ribosomal RNA is filed under the name Apirocalus ebrius. Its description in RNAcentral is "partial 16S ribosomal RNA". The record is from RNAcentral. Lineage: Eukaryota; Metazoa; Arthropoda; Insecta; Coleoptera; Curculionidae.
GAACAGACCCAAAUUUUUUAGCUCCUACACCAAAAUUUUAUUUUAAUCCAACAUCGARGUCGCAAUCUUUUUUUUCGAUUUGAACUCUUUAAAAACAUUACGCUGUUAUCCCUAARGUAAUUUAAUCUUAUAAUCUAAAUAAGGAUCAUUUAUUCAUAAAUCAAUGUAUAUAUAUAAAAAAAGUUUAUUAAGWUUUUUAAUCGCCCCAACCAAAUUAAUCCUAGUAUAAAAAAAAAAUARAUUCUAAAAAAAAUCUUAUACAAUCAUCAAUAAAACUCUAUAGGGUCUUCUCGUCUUUUAUUUAAAUUUAASCUUUYUUACUUAAAAAUAAAAUUYUAAUUAAWUUAAAUARARACAKUUAUUUUCUCAUCCAACCUUUCAUUCCASCUUUCAAUUAAAAAACUAAUGAUUAUGCUACCUUUGCACGGUCAGGUUACCGCGGCCAUUUAAUUCCUCAUUGGGCAGGCUARACCUUAAAUUAUUAUCAAAAA